RNAcentral lists this long non-coding RNA (837 nucleotides) under Trifolium pratense (red clover). RNAcentral's name for it is "long non-coding RNA (TPRA_LNC005603)". Lineage: Eukaryota; Viridiplantae; Streptophyta; Magnoliopsida; Fabales; Fabaceae. The record is from RNAcentral.
UUGCCAUGCCUAGUUGGACUUAACUCAUCCCUACAAAACCAGCUUGUAAGGUGAGUGAUGUCUCCCACAGUCCCACUUAUAAAUUCAUUUUCAGACGAUAUCUUAAUACAGUGUGCGGCUUUGAACAAUAAUAUUAUACAGAGCUAUAAAUUCUAGGAUUUACAGUUACCCUAACUAUGGUAGUUACAUAGAAUUUCACAUUAACUCUAACAACAGGUAAAGGUAAAGAUUUAUAUGAAGAUUGAAAUAUGCACAGUACAUGUCAGUAGUUAUACUUCCUUGUGUAAUCACAGCUAGUUAGCCAAGUAAUUAAAAGUUCUAUGAACACUACCAAUGUGAUAUACUAUAUAUAUGUUAAAGUUCCUGUUAAUUGUAGCAGAACACUUAGCUUACAUAGAUGCCAUUAUGGCCUGUUGGGUUUUUGUAUAUUGGCUACAUUUUGCAAAAACAUCUUUUAGCCAAGUGUUGAGACAUAUGUGCAUGUUGAGACAGAUGUACGUACACAUUGGAACAACACCUGCGUGAUCUGACUGCGCGCCAACUAGCGUUAUUGUUUUAUAUUCAAUCUUUUGAAGAUUUGCUGGAAGAAUUAUUUCAUGGUGACUUAUACAACAAGGCGCAUGUGGUGUAUUAGUCUCUGAAGGCAGCCGAACCCUAGUUCUAUUUUCUAAAGGAAUAAUAACUUUAGAAAAUAUAUUUAUGUGUUUCAAAAAUAUAACUAUGGAUUUGGAAAAUAUGUCUGUUGCUGUCGCAAUUCUAGAAGAUCUAAUUCUGACUUGAAGCCCAAGCUAUUUUACUGCUAUAAAUACGAAGACAAGCAUAUGGUUUCAAGCAUCU